AUUGAACGCUGGCGGAAUGCCUUACACAUGCAAGUCGAACGGCAGCACGGGUGCUUGCACCUGGCGGCGAGUGGCGAACGGGUGAGUAAUGCACCGGAACGUAUCCAAUAAUGGGGGAUAACGCACCGAAAGGUGUGCUAAUACCGCAUACGCCCUGAGGGGGAAAGCGGGGGAUCGUAAGACCUCGCGUUAUACGAGCGGCCGAUGUCGGAUUAGCUAGUUGGUGGGGUAAAGGCCUACCAAGGCGACGAUCCGUAGCGGGUCUGAGAGGAUGAUCCGCCACACUGGGACUGAGACACGGCCCAGACUCCUACGGGAGGCAGCAGUGGGGAAUUUUGGACAAUGGGCGCAACCGCUGAUCCAGCCAUGCCGCGUGAGUGAAGAAGGCCUUC
This 392-nucleotide ribosomal RNA is filed under the name uncultured bacterium. RNAcentral's name for it is "bacterial SSU rRNA". It matches the Rfam family "Bacterial small subunit ribosomal RNA", at positions 29 to 419 of the family's 1533-position model. The record is from RNAcentral.